Molecule: ribosomal RNA, 481 nt
Filed under: uncultured bacterium
Lineage: Bacteria
Description: bacterial SSU rRNA
Rfam family: Bacterial small subunit ribosomal RNA
Source: RNAcentral
GACGAACGCUGGCGGCGUGCUUAACACAUGCAAGUCGAACGGUGACCCAGGGCUUGCCCUGGUGAUCAGUGGCGAACGGGUGAGUAACACGUGGGCAACCUGCCCCCUGACUUCGGGAUAACUCCUCGAAAGAGGAGCUAAUACCGGAUACGACCACUUCGGACAUCCGAUGGUGGUGGAAAGUUUUUCGGUCAGGGAUGGGCCCGCGGCCUAUCAGCUAGUUGGUGGGGUAAUGGCCUACCAAGGCGACGACGGGUAGCCGGCCUGAGAGGGCGACCGGCCACACUGGGACUGAGACACGGCCCAGACUCCCUACGGGAGGCAGCAGUGGGGAAUAUUGCGCAAUGGGCGAAAGCCUGACGCAGCGACGCCGCGUGAGGGAUGAAGGCCUCGGGUUGUAAACCUCUUUCAGCAGGGACGAAGCGAAAGUGACGGUACCUGCAGAAGAAGCACCGGCUAACUACGUGCCAGCAGCCGCGGU